RNAcentral lists this small RNA (627 nucleotides) under Histoplasma ohiense. RNAcentral describes it as "hypothetical lncRNA". The record is from RNAcentral. Lineage: Eukaryota; Fungi; Ascomycota; Eurotiomycetes; Onygenales; Ajellomycetaceae.
CCCGGGUUUAUUUAAUGAUUUGAUACAAUAGUUUUAUCAUUCCUCAAAGCUUCUUCUAUAGUAAAGAAGGCUUUUCACCACCGUUUUCCUUGUAUUGCUAUUCCGCUUUGAGGAAGGUUAUAUGGGAAAGGAACAUCUUCUGAGUUGCUAAGAAAACAUAGUAGUUUCUCUGAUCCACUGCACAUUCCACACUAAGGUUGGUGGUAGAGGGCCGUGCGAUUUGUGAAGUUCCGUUCCUUGGAUAGAGGCUUGCUUGAUGCGAGGAUCCUACCAUAAAUUCGCCUGGUUCGGACAUGGGGGAGGAGUGAAUGUUGACUUACUCGUGUCUCCUGUUCGUGGCACUAAGCGUCGACCCGAGUCCUAUGCGUCAAGUUUUUGAAAUCGCUUAAUUUGACUUUGCCAGUGUAGUUGAUGAAACGACGAAUGAUAAGAGAUAUGAUGAUACGGCCAAUGUUGACGGGUGGUAAUUUGUAAACUUGAAUAACACUUCUAGAUUAAAAAGAGCUCGAUGGGGAUUUGGACUGAGUUCGCUGGUGCCGUUGAGGAGCCAUUCCCAUCCGUACAUAUAUAUAUAUGUAUUGCGUGUUUCAUUUGUAAAGCGCAAGUUAUUUGCGAUCCUAAACAUAG